Molecule: long non-coding RNA, 927 nt
Organism: Patella vulgata (common limpet)
Lineage: Eukaryota; Metazoa; Mollusca; Gastropoda; Patellidae
Exons: 8
Source: RefSeq, a predicted model, not a curated record
AUGGACGAAGAAGAGUUUAUAUACUUUAGUGCAGAGAUUUCUUGAAAUACAAUGUGAGGUUGAAUUUAUGCUGUUUCUCUCGUAGCCACCUGAGAGCGAAACGACCAAAAACUUCAAAAUGAUCCGUUUUCAAUUUCUGGAAGAAAGUUAUUGUUGUUAAAGUUGUCGAGCUUGGAGGAUAUACACCGCCACUUGUCUACGUACCUUUCAUUAGCCGAAGAAGCUCUCAGGCUACUAUAAAUAACAGAAUAAAGCAGCGGUAUUCCUGAAAAAUAAAAUUCAAGAAGGGGUAUUGGUCGAGGUUUGUCCAGUCUUAUAAGAAGUCAAUAAUAUUAUGAGGAUUGUGGCGAUUCCGGAUUGACCUACAAACUCCAUUUUUUGUGUACGAAUCAGCAGUGUCGUAGCUAUUACAGAAAAAAAUAAUUCAAGGUUGCUAAACUUUAACGUAGCAAGUAUUGAAACGGGCUGAAGAGUGAAGUCGAGUCAACUAAUAGACUGCUAAAAUAUAACGAGAACCAUUCCCCCUGGCCAGAAGCAUUUAUUAUUGAAUGUUAUUGGAGCGCCUGUACUUGUACCAAACUGGAUUAUUAUUUUGCUUUUGGUGGUGAUGGGCAGAUCAACACUGUGCAUUUAUUAUUGAAUUUUAUUGGAGCGCCUGUACUUGUACCAAACUGGAUUAUUAUUUUGCUUUUGGUGAUGGGCAGAUCAACACUGUGCAUUUAUUAUUGACUGUUAUUGGAGCUCCUGUACUUUUUCAAAUUGGAUUAUUAUUUGUUUUUGGUGAUGGGCAGAUCAACACUAUGGUUUUCAAGGAAAGAUGUCUUAUUUCCAAUUUUAAAGAAUCUUGCUGAAAUCUUAAUGUUUUUCCUUCAACUUUAUUCUGGUUCCUUAUUGUAUCUAAAAUAAAUUAAGAAUGCAAAAUCUGAC